RNAcentral lists this long non-coding RNA (596 nucleotides) under Manihot esculenta (cassava). Its description in RNAcentral is "long non-coding RNA (MESC_LNC001942)". The record is from RNAcentral. Lineage: Eukaryota; Viridiplantae; Streptophyta; Magnoliopsida; Malpighiales; Euphorbiaceae.
UGCAAAAAGCAUAGCAAGACAUAAGAGAAACAGCAAGGUUAAUUUUGUCCGAUUCUCUUCAGAGCUCAUUUUAUUAUUUCUUAAAAGGGAAAAUUGCAUCACGUCCCUUGAGAGAGGUGAGAGACGAGCAGCCAUUAACAAUAUCAAAAGUGUGGCAGAAUGGAGUUUGCAGCACAUAAAAUAGCCUGUUUGAGCCAAUGAGUUUGGGUAUUAGAGUCGUAUUAAGGACUGUGAAAUAUCGAGCUUGACUUCCGGCCAGAAACAAUUGUUAAAAAAAGGGGGAGCCCAUGGAGAUGUAAUUGUUACCCAACCAUAAUCCAAAAUGGAGCUUAAAUAUUCUUCAGAGUUCCAACUUUUCUUUUUCUCCGUUUCUUAUCUCUCUUCCAAUGCUAUGGUCCAACCGCCUCAUCAAGAUGAGAAGACAUGCUUUGAACAAUACAAACACAGUAGCAUCAAACGUAUUAUGACUUUUUCCUAGUAAGCAAGAGAUAUUUACCUUGAAGUCUCUUUCUUGGUGGCCCUGAGCAAUGAACUUUGCUAUAUUUCGGGAGACGAUAUAUCCUGGGCCAUGUGCCCAUGGUGGAUAAGAAGAAUGU